RNAcentral lists this unclassified non-coding RNA (329 nucleotides) under soil metagenome. RNAcentral's name for it is "partial contains 5.8S ribosomal RNA, internal transcribed spacer 2, and large subunit ribosomal RNA". The stretch from base 1 to 120 matches the Rfam family "5.8S ribosomal RNA", at positions 35 to 154 of the family's 154-position model. The record is from RNAcentral.
GAUGAAGAACGCAGCGAAAUGCGAUAAGUAAUGUGAAUUGCAGAAUUCAGUGAAUCAUCGAAUCUUUGAACGCACAUUGUGCCCUCUGGUAUUCCGGGGGGCAUGCCUGUUCGAGCGUCAUUAUAACCACUCAAGCUCUCGCUUGGUAUUGGAGUUCGCGAUCUCGCGGCUCCUAAAAUCAGUGGCGGUGCCUGUCGGCUCUACGCGUAGUAAUACUCCUCGCGAUUGAGUCCGGUAGGUUUACUUGCCAGCAACCCCCAAUUUUUACAGGUUGACCUCGGAUCAGGUAGGGAUACCCGCUGAACUUAAGCAUAUCAAUAAGCGGAGGA